RNAcentral lists this ribosomal RNA (336 nucleotides) under Acontias gracilicauda (slendertail lance skink). RNAcentral describes it as "partial 16S ribosomal RNA". It matches the Rfam family "Bacterial large subunit ribosomal RNA", at positions 1852 to 2359 of the family's 2925-position model. Lineage: Eukaryota; Metazoa; Chordata; Lepidosauria; Squamata; Scincidae. The record is from RNAcentral.
GUCCCGCCUGCCCAGUGAUAUAUUUUUAACGGCCGCGGUAUUCUAACCGUGCAAAGGUAGCGUAAUCACUUGUCUUCUAAAUAAAGACCAGUAUGAACGGCUAAAUGAGGACAAACCUGUCUCCUACAACAAAUCAGUGAAACUGAUCUCCCAGUACAAAAGCUGGGAUAAACACAUAAGACGAGAAGACCCUGUGGAGCUUAUAAAUAAACGAUCAACAAAUCACAAUCAAAACAAUAAUGAUCGUACAUUUUAAGUUGGGGCGACUUCGGAAAAAAACAAAACUUCCGAGAAAGGGGCCACCUAGCCCACCCUAAGGAAUACAACCCUAAAGCA